RNAcentral lists this non-coding RNA (30 nucleotides) under Mus musculus (house mouse). Lineage: Eukaryota; Metazoa; Chordata; Mammalia; Rodentia; Muridae. The record is from RNAcentral.
UCCAAUUCAGAACAACUCCUAUCCCAACGC